RNAcentral lists this long non-coding RNA (650 nucleotides) under Bos taurus (domestic cattle). Its description in RNAcentral is "long non-coding RNA NONBTAT010797". The record is from RNAcentral. Lineage: Eukaryota; Metazoa; Chordata; Mammalia; Artiodactyla; Bovidae.
GAAUUACAACUACUUAUGCAAUCUGAAUUUUGUCAAUUCAUGUCAUUUAUCUUAAAUCCUUACUUAUGGAAAUUGUUUCUUUCCCCUGAAGAAUGCUGGUAGAAAGUUUUUAUGAAACAGCUAAAUUUACUAAGAGAGAGGGGCAAGGUGUUAGUCUCCUGUUACACUGAUUUCACAAUAAAUAAAAAAGAAAAAUAUCACAGUUCUGCGAAGUAGCCAGGUUAACUUAAAAGGACAUGUUUCUUUAACGUACACGACGUUGUUUUUCAGAGGUUCCACUGGAGUGGGAAGAAUUCCAUGAAAGAUCAUUUUAAAACUUAUUUUGAGUUAAACCUUGAUCCUUUUUUUUUUUCAAUAUACUAGACUUUGACACACUGCCUCUUGAGACUAGCAGAAUCUACUAUUCCAUAUACAUAAUAGAGCAUACUUUUUCUAUAAUCAGGUACCUUUUGCUGCUUUGGGAUAAGACUGUUUUCCUGUUUAGAUUUUAAGCAUUGCCAGAGAGAAGAAGCUGUUCUGUUCUUUUGAUUGUGGCACAGCCUGAUAGCUCUAGCUGCAGCCCCUCUGAUGAGGAAUGAGUGCCUACCAGGACAUCUGGGCAACUAGCUAUGUUUCCUCGGACUCCAGCUUAGUUGGCACUCCAUUGCCUG